CACGUCUCCUAAUAACUCUCCUGGUAAAACGCAAUAGAUCUACCAACCGAUCGGCUUCAUAGACAAACCUAGCAAAAGCCUCCAUACAUAACAAAAACACGAGGAAGUUCUCUCUCUAAGAAGAACCAAACGCAAGAAACUAUCUACAUGCAGAAAGAAAGAAUCAACAGGCAACAGCAAGCCCCUAUUUCCAUGACGUAUUAAUGCUCAGAUGAUGGGAUCGAGAUCGAUGGUGCUUAAGGCUACUGCAAGUAAUUGUUGUUUCAGACCCUCAUUUGCCCGCUCUCUGUUUCAAACCCUUUACUCUUUCCAGGAGGAAUCGAUCCAAUCCGGACAUACUGGUCAUUCAAAUUAAUUUCCCAGAGGUUGAAAGGAUAUACAAUUCCAGCUGGAUGGGACUAUAAUGGUUGUCAGCUCUGCUCUUCAGGGUUCCCCAUGUGUAUCCAAACAUCUGGCUGGGGAAGUAAACAUUUAAAUCCCUCAGUCCCCUUUGCACAUCUUCUUCAUCAGACAAUUCUUCCCGAGGAUACCAACAGUAUAUGCCUCCAACCUGAAAUACUGUUGCAGAUUUGUUCGAGCUAGCUACUCAAUUGAACAACAUCUACAGCCAUAUUAAGAGAAGCUGAUGUCCAGAAUAAAGUGCAAGAGAAGUUAAAACUUUCAAAUUAUGUUUGAUUCUGUUUCUUAUUGACUCUAUUGUAAAUAGAAUAAAGAAAAGUUGUUUACCAGGGCCUCCCUCCUCAGUUGUUCUUCCUAUGACAUUGCAGAGAUCAAUUCCUGCUAUGCCAUCAUAACACCAGAAAAACCGGAACAUUUCAAUCAGCAUGGUUGGAGACACCGUGAGCAACAAUUUAGCCGUAGUUAUCUCAGCCGUAGUUAUCCCAGUAGUUAUCUGUUUGUUUUCAAACACAGUUAAACACAUGCAUUUUUAGUUAUCUGUUUCAAACACAGUUAAACACAUGCAUUUUUAAAAAGAAAAAAAAAUUUAAAUAUUAACCAACCUUUUCCUUUGGAUAAUAUUCGUCCAAAUGCUUAAUUGCAUUGCAGAAAUAGAAGAGCUCGUCCACAGGUUCAUGAUCAAGAUAACGUUUUGGUUCAGUAUCGCCAUACCCAUCCUCACAUAACUGGAGAAAUUCUGGAUCAAGUUCUGAGAGUGAUUUUCUGAUAUUAACUCUUUUGGUCCUCGUCUGUUUGACCAGUCUACUAUAUGCCUUUUCCCACCUCAUCAACGUAGGAUCUGUUGCCACAGCUUGUCCAACUUGGUGAUGACUGCUGCUGAGUUUUGGGAAGUGGCGGCGACUGGGGAAAGCAUGGUUGGGAUUUUGUUGGAUGAUAUUCAGCACACUUCGUCCUCUGGGUAAGAAUGCACAUGACUCAACUUCAUUUUGCAGAUGUGGAUGGUUGUACAGUAAUAUCAGCUGCCUCCUGUAAAGGAGAGAUGAUGGUAAGCAUUUCUUUACUUCAUCACAUUUAUAUGGAACUUAAAAAAACUGGAAACAAUACAUGACAACAUUCUCUGACAAGCAAAUAAACUUGUUUUGCAAAGGCCACUAUUUUAUAUGAUACUUCAAGAUAUCACAAUUAUUUUAUCAAAGAUAUUGGUAAUCUCAAUACUUACCAUAUAUCAAUGUAUGUUCUUGGAGCUUUGAAGUACAAAAUCUAAAUCUAACCUAUAUAUGAAGGAAGAUGAUGUUCCACAUUGUUACAUAUGAGUGCACCUAAAGUUCUACAUUGUGCAGCAAUUCUUAACCGGCAAGAACAUUGUUACAUAUGAGUGCACCUAAAGUUCUACAUUGUGCAGCAAUUCUUAACCGGCAAGAAUUUGUGGAUGGUUCUGAGGAAUCAACUUAUGAUGAAAAUGCAACACCAGCAGCAGAUGAUUUUGAUGUAAAGCAUGACUAUGAAUGAUUGGGAGCUCAUGAUUCCUUUAGCCUUCUUUUCUGGUGAUAUGGUUAUCUUGAUUCAAAUUUAGGAAUAAAAUUAGACCUUGGUGUUGCAACAAGGAAGAAUUAUCUUCAGUGGCAUGGUACUCGGGCUGAGUUGGUGGUGACGGAAGCCGAGUUGUGCAAUGAGAUACUCAAUAAUAAAGAUGGAUUCUAUCCGAAACCCAAGUUCAGAGCUUAUGCAAAGAAGAUAUUUGGGAAAGGCCUUCCACAAUUAGAAGGUGAAAACUGGGCGAAAUCGUGAAUGCUGGCCAACCAUGCCUUCCAUGGACAGAGCUUAAAAUAUAAUGGCAAAAGAAUGAAAGGAAGAUAGGAGAGACCUCUUUGAAUGAAUGGAUGCAGCACGGGAAGAAACGGACACAUACCUUACAGAGAUUCCAAGCUAACACGCAUACUGCAAAAUUCUUUGGGAGGUAACACGCUAGGACAGCCAUCAUUUGCACCAUGAGCCCUGCACGAAGUCAUGUUGAGCAAUCAAAAAACACCCUGUUCUUUGCAAGUUGUGCAAAAGAGGUUACUACUAAUGCAAAGGUCAGAUAAGGCAUUGGUAAAGCAAUAUCAUAAUGUGUGUAUAUGUGCAUAUUGCCAUGAGUUAUUUAUGUGAAGGUUCCGUAAUAGCAAUUCUUACUGUAUGUGAGAACUAAACAUUCAUACUUGGAUAACCACAGACCAAAAUCUUUCUUCUUUUGCUUUCUUAUGUCGGUUUUUUUUUUUUCCUUGUGUCCUUGCUUUCCUGAUUGAUAGUUUACAAGUAUACAAUACCUUUAGAUCCUUGCUAAUUUAGUAUGUUGCUGUCAUAUAGCUAUUAUUAUACCCUUUGUCUAGUUGAAAAGUUUAUCCUUUCAAUUUUGAGUUGCAUCAAUAUAAGUAUCUUAAUCAUAAUCUAUUCCCAGAACAGUCAAUUGUCUAAUUUCCUUAAAUUAGGAAUUCCAUUAGAGAUUUAAUCUUUGGCAGUCAUAGUUUUAUUUUAUAAUAUAACAAACUUUUCCUUCUGUUAAUAAAUUAAUGUUCCUGCAAAAGCCACUACUUGUCUGGAUUGAACUGCUGAUUUGAUGAUAGACUGGCUGGUCAGAAAAACCAUUAAACUGACCAACAUUUGCAGCAUAGGCAGUAUUGAGGUCAUUGAGAGGCAAAUUCAUUGACAUACCAGGUGCAGGAAUACAACUUGAGCUUGUAGGAAUGUAAUUCGAUGAUGGCAAACACUUCAUUUGUGCAUGAGAUGAACUUGAGUGAAAAGAUGAAGCCUCAACGUCAUUAUUGAAGCUAUUAUGAGCAACCAUAGUUUUUGGAUCAUUCUGAGAUUUGUUGUUUGAUUGCUGUCUAUA
Long non-coding RNA from Rosa rugosa (rugosa rose), 3268 nucleotides. RefSeq lists it as uncharacterized. NCBI's taxonomy places the organism in Eukaryota, Viridiplantae, Streptophyta, Magnoliopsida, Rosales, Rosaceae. The record is from RefSeq and is a predicted model, not a curated record. The transcript has 6 exons.